AUCCAUAACGAAUGGAGCAUAGAGUAAUUGGAACAUAUCAAUGGCAGAUAGGGCAUUUCAGAACAUAUCAGUUCAUAGCAAAUGGAGCACAGAGUAAUUGGAACAUAACAAUGGUAGAUAGGACAUUUCAGAACAUAUCAGUUCAUAGCAAAUGGAGCACAGAGUAAUUGGAGCAUAUCAAUGGCGUAUGAAAUGUUCCGGAGCAUAUCAACGGCAUAUGGAACAUUUCGAAGCAAAAAUCAUCAGUGAAUGAAGCAUUUCAGAGCAUAUCAGAAACAAAUAUCGUAUAAAGCUCAAACGUCGUCCUUGACGUUGCAAUAAUAUCAUACUUAUCCAGAGCAUGAACAGAAACAACUCACCAAAACUCUGGAUGUCAUAUCAAACAUAUAGAAGGUGUAGUGGGAUCUCAGUCAGAAUGUGAUUCAUCCAGAAUAUCCCACAUAGCGGGACCCCACAUAGCGGGCAAUAAGCGCAUACCCUUUAACAUUUCUAGCAAAGGUCCAGAAUAUCCCACAUAGCGGGACCCCACAUAGCGGGCAAUAAGCGCAUACCCUUUACCAUUUCUGGCAAAGGUCCAGACAAUCCCACACACCAGAGUACAAGAGGGUAGUUUUNN
RNAcentral lists this long non-coding RNA (616 nucleotides) under Musa acuminata (dwarf banana). RNAcentral describes it as "long non-coding RNA (MACU_LNC008547)". Lineage: Eukaryota; Viridiplantae; Streptophyta; Magnoliopsida; Zingiberales; Musaceae. The record is from RNAcentral.